AGAAGAUUGGUUUAGAUGCUGUGAAUAGAGGUGCCUUGAUACCACGAUGACAAAUGCAGGGGGGGAAACACAUAAAGAAAAUAACGACACCAGCAGAUACAAACAGCUGUACUGGCUUCCUGUUUGCAUCUGGCUGCAAGUCAAGUUGCUGAGAUAGCUCUCUAACAUCUUGCGUGGCUGGAGUCCUGUUCUGCUGUGGCUGCCUCAACUUCAUGGUGUGAACACAGGCUCAGAGAAGCCCUGCUGUCACUGCAGCACGCUUAUUUUGAAGAUAAGUGUGAAUCAGCAUGCUGUUCUUAUAGGCAAAGAAGUAGCAGCAAGAAAUCUCAGACUAUGCAAGAGGAUCAUGACCUGGCAAUCAGAGGAUUUCUGCACUGAUCCAAGCCAGAAAAAUGCUACUUUGCUUGGUGGACACUUCCCAUGGAUUUCUUACACAUCCACAUCCAAGGAGUGGAUCUAUCUGUCACGCACACCAAGCUGCUAACGCCCGUGUGGUCUUGGUAGGAAAAUGCAAAGGAAAUCCAAAAGUGCUGGCCUUGACUCCCUUCCUCACUGUCCUUCCAUACCUGCUCUGCCUUGGCUUUGUGCCCUGCUCCCUCCCUAGCGCUCUUAUCUCCCACUGAACCUGAGAAACAAAUGCUUGUGGAAGCUAAGUCGUCCCCAGCUGUUCGCUCUGUUCCUGAGCUCCCUUCCUCCCUCUCAUUCCUUUUGGAUCUGUUUCUAAACUUUUUGGGGCAGCAACUACUUUUCUGCAUGCAACAUCAAUGGACACUGUUCUUGGCUGGCCUCAAGGCACAACUGGAAUAAAUGUGAAUAACAACAACAGUGACAAAAAGUAUCAACAUUGGUAAUGACAGUAAUAAUUAUUAUUGUUAUUAUUAUACAGUCAACCAGACUGACUUGGUAAUUAUUUGCAUAAUUUGUAUAUAUAAUUUGCAUAAGCAGAAUAAAAGACUGUUCUCAUAUC
This 967-nucleotide long non-coding RNA is filed under the name Gallus gallus (chicken). RNAcentral's name for it is "lncRNA (ENSGALG00000051243.2)". Lineage: Eukaryota; Metazoa; Chordata; Aves; Galliformes; Phasianidae. The record is from RNAcentral.